Molecule: ribosomal RNA, 484 nt
Filed under: uncultured bacterium
Lineage: Bacteria
Description: partial 16S ribosomal RNA
Rfam family: Bacterial small subunit ribosomal RNA
Source: RNAcentral
AUUGAACGCUGGCGGCAGGCCUAACACAUGCAAGUCGAGCGGAUGAAGGGAGCUUGCUCCUGGAUUCAGCGGCGGACGGGUGAGUAAUGCCUAGGAAUCUGCCUGGUAGUGGGGGAUAACGUCCGGAAACGGGCGCUAAUACCGCAUACGUCCUGAGGGAGAAAGUGGGGGGUCUUCGGACCUCACGCUAUCAGAUGAGCCUAGGUCGGAUUAGCUAGUUGGUGGGGUAAAGGCCUACCAAGGCGACGAUCCGUAACUGGUCUGAGAGGAUGAUCAGUCACACUGGAACUGAGACACGGUCCAGACUCCUACGGGAGGCAGCAGUGGGGAAUAUUGGACAAUGGGCGAAAGCCUGAUCCAGCCAUGCCGCGUGUGUGAAGAAGGUCUUCGGAUUGUAAAGCACUUUAAGUUGGGAGGAAGGGCAGUAAGUUAAUACCUUGCUGUUUUGACGAUACCAACAGAAUAAGCACCGGCUAACUUCGUG